UUUUACUCCAAACAUUUACUGGACUGAUUUAAACAUUAAAAUCACUCCUUUCUAAUCCUCUGCUGUACGUUCAAACCUGAGGCCUUAAAUAGAAACACACAAGUAUCUGAUUGAAGGAACUUCUGCAGAGUCCUGGUUCCAGAACAUGAUGAUAGAAUUAUAGACAAACUUUAACAAAAGCUGCCUGAGAGUUUACAGGAUUUUAUGUUAGAUUUCUUCAGUAAUUUAAUGAGAGUUAUCAGCAAAAAUCAAGUGUUCAUUUGAUGAACUUCACUUCCUAAAACAUCCAGAAUUGGAGCUCAUAUCUUUGGCAGCUGUAAAGUUUCUGCUCCUUCAAAGUUCACAACACAAUGAAUGAAUUCCUAAAACACUCUCAAUGCUGGAGAGCGUUUUUGAUGCUGAAGCAGUGACCAGUUUUUCUGUUUCUUCUCUGGAGAUGCACAAUGAGGGACGUCUGCAGAGACUGAGAAAGAGUCUCACCACAUCCUGACAUGAGGAAAAAGACUUUAUUGAAGACUACAAUGAGAAAAACUAUCAGACAGCAGACGGCUGCAUUCAAGGCUACAGGAGGAGUCCUACAAGGACGAGCCGGUCCACCUGAUGGCGGCCAGUCGCUGCGGUUCAAAGCCAACACCGACUACGUGGACUUCUACUGGACCACAUGGAGGCCUUCAAACCGGACCAACAAGUUCAGCGACUCCCCGACUCGUGGGUCUGAGGACGCCGCCGAGCCUCGGUCCAGCCGGCCUCCUGUCUGUGGGUGUUUGAGUGCUGAGAGGUUUGUGGAUGCAUGUGAACAUUCUGUGUUGAAACAGCAGCUUUGGACUCAGUAACGCCGGA
Amphiprion ocellaris (clown anemonefish) is the source of this 840-nucleotide long non-coding RNA. The record is from Ensembl. Lineage: Eukaryota; Metazoa; Chordata; Actinopteri; Pomacentridae.